This 72-nucleotide transfer RNA is filed under the name Actinomycetes bacterium. RNAcentral's name for it is "Actinobacteria bacterium tRNA-Ala". It matches the Rfam family "tRNA". Rfam says of the family: Transfer RNA (tRNA) molecules are approximately 80 nucleotides in length. Their secondary structure includes four short double-helical elements and three loops (D, anti-codon, and T loops). The record is from RNAcentral. Lineage: Bacteria; Bacillati; Actinomycetota; Actinomycetes. RNAcentral also lists the same sequence under 1 other name.
GGGCCAGUUGCGAACGGAAGCGACGGCUCCCUUGCAAGGAGACGGCUGCGGGUUCGACUCCCGCCUGGUCCA